RNAcentral lists this ribosomal RNA (483 nucleotides) under uncultured bacterium. RNAcentral describes it as "partial 16S ribosomal RNA". It matches the Rfam family "Bacterial small subunit ribosomal RNA", at positions 28 to 523 of the family's 1533-position model. The record is from RNAcentral.
GACGAACGCUGGCGGCGUGCUUAACACAUGCAAGUCGAACGAUGAAGCUGGAGCUUGCUCCGGUGGAUUAGUGGCGAACGGGUGAGUAACACGUGAGCAAUCUGCCCUUGACUCUGGGAUAACUGCAGGAAACUGUAGCUAAUACCGGAUAUGAGGCUCGAAGGCAUCUUCGGGUCUGGAAAGAAUUUCGGUCAAGGAUGAGCUCGCGGCCUAUCAGCUUGUUGGUGAGGUAAUGGCUCACCAAGGCGACGACGGGUAGCCGGCCUGAGAGGGUGACCGGCCACACUGGGACUGAGACACGGCCCAGACUCCUACGGGAGGCAGCAGUGGGGAAUAUUGCACAAUGGGCGAAAGCCUGAUGCAGCAACGCCGCGUGAGGGAUGAAGGCCUUCGGGUUGUAAACCUCUUUUAGCAGUGAAGAAGCGAAAGUGACGGUACCUGCAGAAAAAGCACCGGCUAACUACGUGCCAGCAGCCGCCGUAA